Unclassified non-coding RNA from Papio anubis (olive baboon), 149 nucleotides. It matches the Rfam family "Metazoan signal recognition particle RNA". Rfam says of the family: The signal recognition particle (SRP) is a universally conserved ribonucleoprotein. It is involved in the co-translational targeting of proteins to membranes. The eukaryotic SRP consists of a 300-nucleotide 7S RNA and six proteins: SRPs 72, 68, 54, 19, 14, and 9. The record is from Ensembl. NCBI's taxonomy places the organism in Eukaryota, Metazoa, Chordata, Mammalia, Primates, Cercopithecidae.
GCCAGGCCUGGUGGUGCUGGCCUGUAAUCCCAGCUACUUGGGAGGCUGAGGCAGGAGAAUUGCUUGAACCUGGGAGGCCAGAGGUUGCAGUGCGCUAAAAUCAGACCACUGCACUCCAGCCUAGGCCACAGAGCGAGACUCUGUCUUGA